CACGUAGUUAGCCGGAGCUUAUUCCUCGGGUACCGUCAUGUUUCGUCCCCGAUUAAAGAUCUUUACAACCCGAAGGCCUUCUUCAAUCACGCGGCGUUGCUGCGUCAGGGUUCCCCCCCAUUGCGCAAUAUUCCCCACUGCUGCCUCCCGUAGGAGUCUGGGCCGUGUCUCAGUCCCAAUGUGGCCGUUCAACCUCUCAGUCCGGCUACUGAUCGUCGCUUUGGUGGGCCGUUACCCCGCCAACUGGCUAAUCAGACGCGAGCUCAUCUUUGGACAAUAAAUCUUUGGCAGCAGGACCAUGCGAUCCCGUUGCAUUAUGCGGUAUUAGCAGCCGUUUCCGGCUGUUAUCCCCCAUCCAAAGGCAGAUUGCUCACGCGUUACUCACCCGUCCGCCACUAAGCUAAAGAUUCCGCUCCCCGAAGGAAGUUUCCUAAAUAGCUCCGUUCGACUUGCAUGUGUUAGCACGCCGCCAGCGUUCAUCCUGAGCCAGGACUACAAACUCU
RNAcentral lists this ribosomal RNA (503 nucleotides) under uncultured Butyricicoccus sp. RNAcentral describes it as "partial 16S ribosomal RNA". Lineage: Bacteria; Bacillati; Bacillota; Clostridia; Eubacteriales; Butyricicoccaceae. The record is from RNAcentral.